ACUUAAAGGGCGGUUAUCACUGUGGAUACCAGUGGAAUGUCUAAUUGAUUGCAACACUCUAGUUCCACCAGAAAUACUCUUCUUUAACCUUUCUAUUGUGUUUAUUGUUUAUUUUACUACACUCUACACUGAGCAGCCACAACAUUAAAACCACCUAACUAAUAUCGUGUAGGACCCCUUCAACUCUGAUGUGUCGAGGCAUGGACUUCACAAGACCUCUGAAU
Molecule: non-coding RNA, 224 nt
Organism: Pelobates cultripes (western spadefoot toad)
Lineage: Eukaryota; Metazoa; Chordata; Amphibia; Anura; Pelobatidae
Source: the annotation of a GenBank genome assembly